This 468-nucleotide ribosomal RNA is filed under the name uncultured bacterium. RNAcentral describes it as "partial 16S ribosomal RNA". It matches the Rfam family "Bacterial small subunit ribosomal RNA", at positions 28 to 507 of the family's 1533-position model. The record is from RNAcentral.
GACGAACGCUGGCGGCGUGCUUAACACAUGCAAGUCGAACGGAAAGGCCCUGCUUUUGUGGGUUGCUCGAGUGGCGAACGGGUGAGUAACACGUGAGUAACCUGCCCUUGACUUUGGGAUAACUUCAGGAAACUGGGGCUAAUACCGUAUAGGAGCUCCUGCUGCAUGGUGGGGGUUGGAAAGUUUCGGCGGUUGGGGAUGGACUCGCGGCUUAUCAGCUUGUUGGUGGGGUAGUGGCUUACCAAGGCUUUGACGGGUAGCCGGCCUGAGAGGGUGACCGGCCACAUUGGGACUGAGAUACGGCCCAGACUCCUACGGGAGGCAGCAGUGGGGAAUAUUGCACAAUGGGCGGAAGCCUGAUGCAGCAACGCCGCGUGCGGGAUGACGGCCUUCGGGUUGUAAACCGCUUUCGCCUGUGACGAAGCGUGAGUGACGGUAAUGGGUAAAGAAGCACCGGCUAACUACGUG